GGGUGAGUAAUGCCUGGGAAUAUGCCUUGAUGUGGGGGAUAACCAUUGGAAACGAUGGCUAAUACCGCAUAAUGCCUACGGGCCAAAGAGGGGGAUCUUCGGACCUCUCGCGUCAAGAUUAGCCCAGGUGGGAUUAGCUAGUUGGUGAGGUAAUGGCUCACCAAGGCGACGAUCCCUAGCUGGUCUGAGAGGAUGAUCAGCCACACUGGAACUGAGACACGGUCCAGACUCCUACGGGAGGCAGCAGUGGGGAAUAUUGCACAAUGGGCGCAAGCCUGAUGCAGCCAUGCCGCGUGUGUGAAGAAGGCCUUCGGGUUGUAAAGCACUUUCAGUCGUGAGGAAGGUAGUUGCGUUAAUAGCGUAAUUAUUUGACGUUAGCGACAGAAGAAGCACCGGCUAACUCCGUGCCAGCAGCCGCGGUAAUACGGAGGGUGCGAGCGUUAAUCGGAAUUACUGGGCGUAAAGCGCAUGCAGGUGGUUUGUUAAGUCAGAUGUGAAAGCCCGGGGCUCAACCUCGGAAUUGCAUUUGAAACUGGCAGACUAGAGUACUGUAGAGGGGGGUAGAAUUUCAGGUGUAGCGGUGAAAUGAGUAGAGAUCUGAAGGAAUACCGGUGGCGAAGGCGGCCCCCUGGACAGAUACUGACACUCAGAUGCGAAAGCGUGGGGAGCAAACAGGAUUAGAUACCCUGGUAGUCCACGCCGUAAACGAAGUGUACUUGGAGGUUGUGGCCAUGAGCCGUGGCUUUCGGAAAUAACGCGUUAAGUAGACCGCCUGGGGAGUACGGUCGCAAGAUUAAAACUCAAAUGAAUUGACGGGGGCCCGCACCAGCGGUGGAGCAUGUGGUUUAAUUCGAUGCAACGCGAAGAACCUUACCUACUCUUGACAUCCAGAGAAGCCAGCGGAGACGCAGGUGUGCCUUCGGGAACUCUGAGACAGGUGCUGCAUGGCUGUCGUCAGCUUGUGUUGUGAAAUGUUGGGUUAAGUCCCGCAACGAGCGCAACCCUUAUCCUUGUUUGCCAGCGAGUAAUGUCGGGAACUCCAGGGAGACCGCCGGUGAUAAACCGGAGGAAGGUGGGGACGACGUCAAGUCAUCAUGGCCCUUACGAGUAGGGCUACACACGUGCUACAAUGGCGCAUACAGAGGGCUGCCAACCAGCGAUGGUGAGCGAAUCCCAAAAAAUGCGUCGUAGUCCGGAUUGGAGUCUGCAACUAGACUCCAUGAAGUCGGAAUCGGCCAUAAUC
This 1243-nucleotide ribosomal RNA is filed under the name Vibrio scophthalmi. Its description in RNAcentral is "bacterial SSU rRNA". It matches the Rfam family "Bacterial small subunit ribosomal RNA", at positions 104 to 1343 of the family's 1533-position model. Lineage: Bacteria; Pseudomonadati; Pseudomonadota; Gammaproteobacteria; Vibrionales; Vibrionaceae. The record is from RNAcentral.